AAUUAAUUAGCUCAGUGGUUUGAGCACAGUGCUGGCAACAAUGACCAACACCAAGGGCGCGGGUUCAAUUCCUGCUUGGUUC
Molecule: transfer RNA, 82 nt
Filed under: Apaloderma vittatum (bar-tailed trogon)
Lineage: Eukaryota; Metazoa; Chordata; Aves; Trogoniformes; Trogonidae
Rfam family: tRNA
About the family: Transfer RNA (tRNA) molecules are approximately 80 nucleotides in length. Their secondary structure includes four short double-helical elements and three loops (D, anti-codon, and T loops).
Source: Rfam by way of RNAcentral